Molecule: long non-coding RNA, 4095 nt
Organism: Dromaius novaehollandiae (emu)
Lineage: Eukaryota; Metazoa; Chordata; Aves; Casuariiformes; Dromaiidae
Exons: 3
Source: RefSeq, a predicted model, not a curated record
ACUCUUUAGAAAUGGGCCCGUCUGCCUGGAGAGAGACCCUCCAACAGCAUAACUGCCUUGGACAACCAGGACUGAAGCACAUUUACUUUGGAUGGGGAAGAACUGCCAGUUUUUAAAAGGAGAGUUUAAACAACAGAGUGUAUGAGCAGAGAGGGGCCACCAACUCCCCUUCGCAGUAACUCCCCCAAGAGGGUGGAGGUGGAGUCUCCAGCAUGGCUCAUCUGGGUCAUGCCCCAGGCCGUGGCUUCCUCUGCAGCCUUGGGAGUGACUCCGCACCGUGAAGGAGCCUGCGGCACUUCUGCAUGUGAGGUCCGGCCCUUGGCACGGCUCAGUCUCCAGAGCUGAUUCGCCUCCUGGGCCCCUUGCGCUGCAUCGGCUUCGGCACAGCGGCCUCUGACUUAUGCCCAGGUUUGUGUCGAGGGAGGGGGACCUGCCGGGCUGCCAGCCUGCCACGGGUCCCCCCAUCAUUGCACAGCCCCGACUAACGAUUCCUGGGGGACCGACUGCAACACCAAGCUCAAGAAACGGCAAGGCAAGGAAGACUCCAACAGUCUUUUUUCCCAGCCAUGUUUUGCUGAAGAAAUGAUUUUAAGGGGGAAAAAGAAGAAAAUGCAUUUUUGUGUAAGCAGAAUGGAGCACAGCUUUCCGCGGUGCCCAGGUAUUUCUGUGCCAUUCUCUCUGCAGCAUUACAUAGCAGCAGGACUGCCUUUGCCUGACUGGCUGCUAACUAUGGAUGUGUUUCCACAGCAGUGUGCACAGCACCUUCCUCUGCAAGCAGCGCCUUUUGCUUUCCCCCUUGCCUGGGUUUAUCUGUAUGCAAGGCACCUGGCAAGGCUCUCCAGGCUUUCCAUCAGCUGCCCAGACUCACAGCACAUGGGCUGUGUGUGUCCCUUGCUGAGAGUUGUAGUUGUUGGGUGAUAGGCUCUUGGGCAGCUCCUGCAAGAGACCUGGUCUUCGCUGUGUGCCUCUCUAGAGGAAUUGCUACCUGUAGGCUACCAAGUAUUUAUAGCCAUAUUUUUAAGAAAGGGAGAUGCAUGUUUGUUCAUUUGUUUUCCGGCCUCCCUGCAGGAUGGAUCUGAAAGCAGAAGUAUCUCUCACUAGAGAGAAAAAUGACAAAAGCAUCCUCAUAUUUCUCAAAAUUUGCUUAGAUGUUUUUCAGGGUUUUGCUAAGACCUGCCAGGCUCCUUCCCUUUCCUUUCCUGCCUCACCCCAAAUACUUCCAUUUUUGGCUGAAAAUACUUCCAUUUUUGGAUUUUUUUGACCAACAGUGUCAGCCAAAACUCUAUCCCUUUUGUCUAUUUUUCCCACUUAGUUUGUUUCUGGCAAAACAAAAAUACUAUUUUGAUGGAAAAUUUUCAACCAGCUCUGCCCAUUAAUUUCUGUCAACAGUCUUACAGGCCAAACAGUGCAUCUUCCAAGAGAAGAGACUGUCCGAAGGGCUGACCGCGAAGCGAGCACUGGCUGACGCUCCCGUCCGCGGCGCUGUGCCCCAGCCAACACUGUGCUCUUUUGCAGGCCUCAGCCCUUAAUGGGAGCCAUCUUCCAGGAGAUGUUUCCAGCUCAAAUCUCUCUUGUCAAGUCACCUCAGUAAUUCAGGUACUUUGCCAGGUUAAAGGAAGAUGUGGAUGGCACAGAGAGAUCUCCUCCGAAGAGGGGAGCGUGGCAAGCUACCUCUGAGGACCUCCAGGGACAAGUCUGUAAUAUUGCCAGCUGCUCCGAGAUCGUUCAGUGAAAGGCCUUUCAGCUGUGCAAAAGUUUAUAGGCCUUCUCAGGGCAUUGGUGGUUUUAGAGGGUUAAGUUAGAAACAGGAAAUACAGUGACUAAAGGAAAGCCAUUAAUAUUAAAUUCCACCCUUUGCCAGAUAGUCUUGUGUUAUCAUUGCUCUUUCUUGAAAUAUUUUCCAGUUUUCUUUGCAUGGCAUUUGUUACAGGGGUAGCAACUGAGGAGCUGUAACUUGGCACAUCUCCACCUGCUUUUCUGUAGCAGUGCACGUGUGCUGUGGGAUUUGAAGAAUUUCCGUAGCCUCUAGAAUCGAUAUGCAAACAGUCCGCUGUACAGACAUCAAUCUGUCCGAUAGACAUGCUGCGUGACCUAAGAAAUAAUACAGGUGGUCAGCACCAUGCUGAUGAGUCCAGAAUUUCUGGAGCAAACACACUCAUUUUACUAUGUCUGGAAGACUGGGGUCUUCCCCAGUCUUACCCUCCAGGAAGGUAAUGUGCUAUGCUUGGCUGAUCACAAAACACCCACCAGGAUUUCCCUAACAAAACUGUUGUUUUUUGCCAAGCAAAGCAUAGAUUUCCAAGGAAUGAGAGCCCUGACUUUGCUACCUCUGAAAUGGCUUGGAGACCUUAAGGUGCUUGUCUCAGCAGCCAGGUCUUCUGCCCUGUAGGAGCCAGGACCUCCCAUCACCAGCCUGCACCGUGAUCUAAGUAACCCUUCAUGCCAGAGCAAAUGCAGGCCCCUGCACCACAGUCAGUGCACAGUCCCUUUCCACCUCCUUAGAUAGUCAUCCACUCUGUUGUGAUAAGAGCAGCAGGGAUAGAGCGGACUGUUAGACUUUCUGUAAAAUGGGCCAUCUUAAUCUUCCCCCCCGUUUACUGUGUUGCUGUAUGUCACUCUAUAUAUUUGAUGUACUGCCACGUGAGCAGGUAGGGAGCCAAGGAUGUUAGGACCAGGAGAGAUGAGCGUUGCUACCUGUAUAACCCAGCUCAUGCCAUCCUGCCCGCUAGUGCUUCAUCAUGGCCCAGAGCUGUUUGCUUGACCUGGUGCAUGCCUUGCAGGCAGACGUGCAAACCUAAAGAAACAAUUGUAGCCCAGGGAGCCCCUGCAUCUCUAAGCAAGUUGUUCCCUGGGGCAGUCACUGUUUCUAUUAAAAAGCAAUCCUUUCUUUCCCAUGGCUACUUGUCAGAUUGCGAGGAGAGCUGCGCUUCUGCUCCUGAAGGCCCUAGCUGCAGACACAGCCUUGGAAGGGAAGCUUGCUCUCAUGGCUACGGCGAAGGAAUGGGAAGCACGAGAUCUGGCGGGGAGUCCUGCUCCCAUUGAAGCCAGUGGGAGGUUUGCCAUUGGCUUCAGGGGAAGCCAAGAUCUUAGUCUGCAGCCAGAUUUGCUGGUGUGUUGAGCUAUGCUGAGAGCAGGAUCAGGAGGGGUUGCUGGUUUCCUGAUAAAACUGUUAUUGCCUCAGCUCUGCUGCAAAUAGCUGGUCUCUCACCUCGUAUUGCUGCCUCAUUGCUUUCCUGUUUUGAAGUCUUAAUCUUAGGCCAGAAACACUUUGAGGACGAGACUGGCUCUGGUUUCUGCCUGCUUGCGUUGUCCCAUGACUGGAGCUCCUGGACAUCCUUACCAUUAGAAGCACCCUCUGCUGUCGUGGGUUGCGGACUGUGCAAGAGAAUGGCAUAGAAUAGCAGCACAAGACUGAGAUAAGUGGCUUAAAUUAAGUAAAACAUAGAGAAUUUUCUCAGAGUUAGGAACUGUGCCUUUUCCUUCAAGCAGCAGCUUCAGUUAGCUCUAGAAAGCCUUUCUGUGUGGCUUGAGAGAGCCUGAAGAGAUUGCAAAAGUGGUCCAGGACCUGGCUUCCCCGCCUCACUCGUUCACACCAGAAGGAGCUGGAGGAAGUCUGCUGUGCUGCUGCGGUGAUGGAUGUAUUAUGUAGGGCACUAUAUCGUACCACUCUGAUGCAUUGCAAGGCCUGUGCCAGCUCUCACAGUCCACACAGUGUUCCUGUUUGAAACAUGGGCAGGGUUACUACCCUCCUCCGAAAAGCAGGUGAAGGAAAUGGUCUAACAGUGAUUUGACAUUAUUGUGUUACUCUAAGCAGCCCCAUUUUGGCCUGUACAGGUCCUGCUGUUUUUAUUUGAAUGGAGGCGUGGUGGAGCCUCCCUAUGCCAAGGAAAAAGCCAUUACAACUAAUUCUCACUAUUUAUAUUUCUCCCUGAUGAGGACAUCUCUUUCUGUUCAUCGUGUGGAUUUGGUCUCUGCUGCCCCUUUCUGGGAACAUCUGUAAAUGCAUCACAUCUAUCAAAAGAAAAAGGCACGAAGCUUGAUCUCCCGGACCAAGGAGCUGCACUGGUCUCCUCUGGCUUUCCUCACCUUGCCAGA